RNAcentral lists this long non-coding RNA (465 nucleotides) under Pan troglodytes (chimpanzee). RNAcentral describes it as "long non-coding RNA NONPTRT002828". Lineage: Eukaryota; Metazoa; Chordata; Mammalia; Primates; Hominidae. The record is from RNAcentral.
GGGUAAUGCUUCCAAACUGGUUUAUACUCCAUUGACAGACAAGUGCUACUUAACUCUCACUCAAGCCAUGAAGAUGGGACUUGGAGGAAAUCCUUAUGGACCAGCUGGAACUGGGAAAACGGAGUCAGUAAAGGCUUUAGGUGGACUUCUUGGAAGACAAGUUUUAGUCUUUAAUUGUGAUGAGGGCAUCGAUGUGAAGUCAAUGGGACGAAUAUUUGUUGGUUUGGUGAAGUGUGGGGCCUGGGGUUGUUUUGAUGAAUUUAAUAGGCUGGAAGAAUCUGUACUGUCAGCAGUUUCUAUGCAAAUCCAGACAAUUCAAGAUGCUUUGAAGAAUCAUAGAACUGUAUGUGAACUGCUUGGCAAGGAGGUAGAAGUAAAUUCUAAUUCUGGAAUUUUUAUCACUAUGAAUCCUGCUGGAAAAGGUUAUGGAGGAAGACAAAAACUGCCUGAUAAUCUUAAACAGCU